RNAcentral lists this ribosomal RNA (931 nucleotides) under Microbacterium trichothecenolyticum. RNAcentral describes it as "bacterial SSU rRNA". It matches the Rfam family "Bacterial small subunit ribosomal RNA", at positions 61 to 1002 of the family's 1533-position model. Lineage: Bacteria; Bacillati; Actinomycetota; Actinomycetes; Micrococcales; Microbacteriaceae. The record is from RNAcentral.
GUCGAACGAUGAAGCCUCACUUGUGGGGUGGAUUAGUGGCGAACGGGUGAGUAACACGUGAGCAACCUGCCCCUGACUCUGGGAUAAGCGCUGGAAACGGUGUCUAAUACUGGAUAUGAGCUCUCACCGCAUGGUGGGGGUUGGAAAGAUUUUUUGGUUGGGGAUGGGCUCGCGGCCUAUCAGCUUGUUGGUGAGGUAAUGGCUCACCAAGGCGUCGACGGGUAGCCGGCCUGAGAGGGUGACCGGCCACACUGGGACUGAGACACGGCCCAGACUCCUACGGGAGGCAGCAGUGGGGAAUAUUGCACAAUGGGCGGAAGCCUGAUGCAGCAACGCCGCGUGGGGGAUGACGGCCUUCGGGUUGUAAACCUCUUUUAGCAAGGAAGAAGCGAAAGUGACGGUACUUGCAGAAAAAGCGCCGGCUAACUACGUGCCAGCAGCCGCGGUAAUACGUAGGGCGCAAGCGUUAUCCGGAAUUAUUGGGCGUAAAGAGCUCGUAGGCGGUUUGUCGCGUCUGCUGUGAAAUCCCGAGGCUCAACCUCGGGCCUGCAGUGGGUACGGGCAGACUAGAGUGCGGUAGGGGAGAUUGGAAUUCCUGGUGUAGCGGUGGAAUGCGCAGAUAUCAGGAGGAACACCGAUGGCGAAGGCAGAUCUCUGGGCCGUAACUGACGCUGAGGAGCGAAAGGGUGGGGAGCAAACAGGCUUAGAUACCCUGGUAGUCCACCCCGUAAACGUUGGGAACUAGUUGUGGGGUCCUUUCCACGGAUUCCGUGACGCAGCUAACGCAUUAAGUUCCCCGCCUGGGGAGUACGGCCGCAAGGCUAAAACUCAAAGGAAUUGACGGGGACCCGCACAAGCGGCGGAGCAUGCGGAUUAAUUCGAUGCAACGCGAAGAACCUUACCAAGGCUUGACAUACACGAGAACACCCUA